This is a non-coding RNA of Triticum urartu, 1101 nucleotides long. Lineage: Eukaryota; Viridiplantae; Streptophyta; Magnoliopsida; Poales; Poaceae. The record is from RefSeq and is a predicted model, not a curated record.
AGCUGCCACCACGUAGCACAAUGCCUACCACGUACACGUGCUGAGAGACAACAACACACGUCAAUUGUUGCUUCACGAGCUGCCACCACGUAGCACAAUGCCUACCACGUGUCUCGCAUGACCGCUGGUCUUGAUUCCAUCCACCAGUCUUCGUCCCAUUCCUCUCCCCCUGUACUCGUACUGAAGUGAAGUGAGGAAGCAGCUGGAGGAGGCGGACGAGGGCACCUUGGGUUCCAUCUUCGCGGCGGCUCACACUGCAACUUGGCGGUGGAGCAGCUCCCGCUGCAGCUCGGAGGCGCUGCGGCUCCAUCUGCAUCUCGGCGGCCCGGCAGCUCGGAGUUGCAGCGGCUCCAUCUGCAUCCCUACGGCCCAGCAGCUCCCACUGCAGCUCGGAGCCACGAAAUCGGUAGAUGGCGCCACCGUUUCUCGUAUGGGUGAGCCAAAUCUACGCAGUUGCCACUGUCACUCCCCGCGUCUGUUCCGGCUGUGCUGGCACUCCCUGAAGCUGGUGACUUUCCAUGACAAAGGAGGCUCCAGCAAGACGAUACGACCGCUGUUUCCACUCAGAGUAUGGACUGGGCAACGAAGUUUCAAUCCAUGGUGAUGUCUACAGCUACGGCAUAUUGUUGCUGGAGAUGUUCACUGGAAGAAGGCCAACAGACAGCGAAUUCGGAGAAUCCUGUGCAAAUGGCAUUGCCAGAAAGGGCGGCAGAGGUCAUAGACCGAGACUUACUAGCAGAGACAGAAGAUGGCAAAGAAACCAGCUCAAACUCUAAUAGCAAUAUGGGUCUGAGAAUUGCUUGCAUCACUUCAGUUCUGGGCACUGGUAUUUCGUGCUCACAGGAGACACCAUCGGAUCGCAUCCAAAUCGGGGAUGCUCUCAAAGAGUUGCUGGCAAUAAGAGACAGAUUUCAAUAGGCUCCAGCUAGCUCCAAACAAAAAUGUAGUUGUGUUUUGUGACAUCUUUGUUGUAUUAGUGUAAUGGUAUAUCUGCAUUGUUGAAUGUACGUAUAUACAGUGUUGUAUAAGUAUGUUCUAGAACAAGUGCAGGGUGUAGCGCGUGAUUCUGAUUGUGUAAUCAGCCGGUUCGAUUGAUCCUUA